AAGCCCCGGCACCUUUAAGGGGUGCCUCUUCGAACUUGCAUUUCGACGUGUCUCCACCACGGGG
This 64-nucleotide transfer RNA is filed under the name Pachydactylus barnardi. Its description in RNAcentral is "tRNA-Cys". The record is from RNAcentral. Lineage: Eukaryota; Metazoa; Chordata; Lepidosauria; Squamata; Gekkonidae.